GUAAAUUACUCACUGGCAUUGGCUGCUUUCUAGAGGUGGCACUAUGCUAGCACCAUGCUUCAGGGGAAAGCAAGCUGUCAGGAACCUCCAAGACCACUUCCGGUAGCAGUGCCGGGCAUCCAUCUGUCUGUGUAUAAUUGAGGCUUUAAGAAGCUUACCCUGCAGGACCGCCGACAGGAAGGCAUGCAGUAAGGAGUACUCGAUGAGGAUGAUGUCGAUUACUCCUGCUGGAGGUCCUUGAGUUUAUUCAUUUACUGAGUUACUCAGACAACAGAUAUGUAUUGAGUACCUACUAUAUGUGGGGCUUGGUGCAGGAGAUAUACUAGUGAGGAAAACAGUGGAUCCUGGUCUUAUGCACAUUACAGUUUGAUGUGGGGGGGGGGAACAGACUUUAUUGAAAUGCUCAAGAUAAUAAAAUAACCAAUUUGUGGUAAGUGAUCCAGAAGAAGGGUAAAUACAAGCCAAAUAAGACUACAGACACAAGACAAGGUAACUCAAGGCAGAAGGCCUGCAUAAACAGGCACUAAGUUCUGUGAAGAUGACAUAGAAGUUGUCUAAGCUGUUUAAAAAGUCUGUUAGUUUACUACACAUAUUUGUGGCAGUCUUAAAAUCACCCCUUUCUUUGCAGUCAUCAAUAGAUGAAGUAGCAAACAGAUACAGAAAAAGUGGCUCUUUUGUCUCCCGCCAAAUAUUACCCUUCAGCUCAAGGUGGGAAUAGGUUCCACACUUUCUCUCCUUGAUGGCUUUCCUUCUUCUAACCUCUCUUCUUCAAAAUGCAGGAAUUCCAUCAGAAGCUGUACAGAACCUCGGACUUAAAUUCCCAAGCAUUGUUUUCUUUGUACCAGUUUCCUUUGCUAGAAAGCACAAGAAGCUUCGCUCUAAGAUGAUGUUCUAAUUUCUCACCUGCCACUCAAGGAUCCCAUGACAUCCUACCACCUCCUUUCAGUCCUGUCCCCCAUAGCCCCUGUAGGCCAAGGAGAAUACCACCUACCACCUCAAGAACAGACAUUGCGUGUCUCCUUCCCUGCUUCUGAUCCGGAUUGUAGCUCAUGCCAUUUUAGGCAUCCCAAGUGGCUUUCCCUCUUGUCAGUAAAUGAUGCCUUCCUUAAAGCAGAAUCACUAAGAUACAUAGACGAUACAAAUAGAUAAAUGGUGUUUGUUGUAAACAUUCUUACUUGGCAAAAAUAAAAGAUUUCUAUUCCUAA
Molecule: non-coding RNA, 1205 nt
Organism: Ictidomys tridecemlineatus (thirteen-lined ground squirrel)
Lineage: Eukaryota; Metazoa; Chordata; Mammalia; Rodentia; Sciuridae
Source: RefSeq, a predicted model, not a curated record